AAUAUCCCGUUCUAGUGUCACGCAAUCUUUAUGUCACGCAAGACCUUGAGAUAAUGUAAAUUAAGUAAUUCUGGAAUAAAUAAAUUGGAAAUUGAAAGGCUCCUAGCUGUUUUACCUGUAAGUUGACUCAGGGUAUAAACGACAUCGUGGGUGGGAGGGCUGAAUAUCAGGGAAUAGUCAACUAUGGCUGAACCAAUCAAAUUAACCGACCAGCAAUGAACCAAUCAAGUUAACAGAUUGAGAUAAACCAAUCAAGUUAACGGAUCAGCAAUAAACCAAUCAAAUUAACGGAUUCGCAAUGAACCAUGGGUGUUUGGUUCCGAUAAAAGGCUAGUGCUCGAAAUGAAACCUUUUAAAGUCCGAGUCUCUCUGGCGGUUACCCUUACUUACUUCAAGUUGAUUAUCGUAAGUUCCAAUCAUGUCUAGAUUGUCUUCAUUUUGUUCCUGUGUCCUGCUUUUUGUCCUGAUCCACUCAAGCCAGUCCAAUAACCCGUUUAGCCAGUUUGGUGUAUUUUGCAAACCAGAAACGGGGCGUCUAACAGUCAGCAAAACAGGUUGCGAGUCCCGGUAUGUCCGAGUGAAAGCCUGUGUCGGCACAUGCGCGUCACACACGCAUCCGCUGGACCACCCGCCUUACUUCAAGAAAUUCUGCAAAUGCUGUAAGCCAUCAGCUAAAAGAUGGAAGGUGUUUAAUCUGCCAAAUUGCACCUCAGGGAUCUCCCCCUCAGUACAAGUGGAAUCUGCCGUGAACUGCAAGUGCUCCGCUUGCACGUGAAAGAAAAACAUAAAAUAAAAUAAAAUAAAUAAAAUAAAAUAAAAUAAAAUAAAAUAAAAUAAAAUAAAAUGAAAUGAAAUAAAAUAAGAUAGAAUAAAAAAAUAAAAGUUCACAAAGUGAGGGGCAGACAUUUGUUUGGGACGUCCUUAGACUCAGAUAGAAUUUAUUUAAUUCAUGAUACGACAAAUAAGAGAAUUAAUGUCACACACACAAUAUUUGUGUCACACAAGGCUUGAUUAAACUAGUGUGAGUAGGUGUGUAAGUAUUUUUGGAAUGAAUUUAAUUGCAAAUAUAACUGCUCUUACUAAUAGUAUACCGGCAAGUCAUGGUAAGUGGGAGGGCUGAAUAUCAGCGAAUAAUAAACUGUGGCAUCAGACCGGACUCUGAGCCAAUCAAAUUAACGGAUUUGCAAUGAACCAAUCAAAUUAACGGACUCGCAAUGAACCGACCGAAUAAACAGAUUCGCAAUAAAGCAAUCAAAUUGCACCGCGGUUGCCUUGGUUCCGAUAAGAGGCUGACGCUCGAAACUGCAGCUUGUCAAAGUCCAAGUCGCUCUGGCGGUUUCCCCUACUUAGUUAAGUUGAUAAUCAUAAGUUCUAGUCAUGUCUAGAUUGCCUUCACUUUGUUGCUGUGUCUUGCUCUUUGUGCUGAUCCACUCAAGCCAGUCCAAUAACCCGUUUAGCCAGUUUGGUGUCUUCUGCAACACCAAAAUGGAGAAUCAACUAGUCAAUAAAACAGGUUGCGAGUCCCGGAAUGUGCAAGUGAAAGCCUGUCUUGGCACAUGCGCGUCAUACGCUCGUCCGCUGGACCACCCGCCUUACUUCAAGAAAUUCUGCAAAUGCUGCAAGCCAUCAGUUAAAACGUGGACGGUGUUUAAUCUGCCAAAUUGCACCUCAGGGAUCUCCCCCUUAGUACAAGUGGAAGCUGCCGUGAGCUGCACCUGUUCCGCCUGCUCGUGAAAGAAAAGAAAAGAAAAGAGGAAAAAAUAUCGAGUGUCCAAGACAGAGAAUAUUUUAGAUAGCCUUUGACCGACCUCCUGCCGUUGAUUGUUAGUAUAGGAUGAACAGAAUUUAUUCAGUUACAGAUGCGACAAAACGGAUGUCAGGUGACAAUUAAACCGUUCUAAUGUCACGCAAUCUUUGUGUCACACAAGACCUGUAGUAAUGGUAUCUUGUGUAAAUUUUUAAGUCAUUUUGUAAUAAAAUAAAAAUCUCAAAAUUGAAAGUGUUGCCUUGCUGACUGU
This is a long non-coding RNA of Orbicella faveolata, 2018 nucleotides long. RefSeq lists it as uncharacterized. NCBI's taxonomy places the organism in Eukaryota, Metazoa, Cnidaria, Anthozoa, Scleractinia, Merulinidae. The record is from RefSeq and is a predicted model, not a curated record.